This is a non-coding RNA of Cicer arietinum (chickpea), 2211 nucleotides long. Lineage: Eukaryota; Viridiplantae; Streptophyta; Magnoliopsida; Fabales; Fabaceae. The record is from RefSeq and is a predicted model, not a curated record.
UUUAAUGAGUUUGUUUUUAAGCCCCCAAAUGUUCCAUUUGCUUUUGCAGUUGGUGUUGUUCGUCAUUCCAACGUGGAUAGCAUAAUAGAAGCACAAAGGUUUCUAGUUCCAAAAGUGCUCUUUCUUCUCUCUUAUUUCUCAUCUCUCUUUAUGUAUCUAUAGAUAUUAAUUCUACGCCAAAUUGUGGAGGAUGUGAAGAAUUAAGAGGUGUUGGUGUUGAACUUAAUUUAUUCUUUUGGAUAAAUAAGAGCAAGGGAGAACUAAGCAAUUUGUUGACUGCAAAAGGUGAUUGAAUGGCAAAAGUCUGUUGGCCAUACUUUGAUCCUGAGUAUGAGAACUUCAGCAACAGAAUCAACCCUCCAAGGGUCUCUAUGGACAAUGAUAGUUGCCCUGAUUGUACACUGAUCAAGAUUGACAGUGUCAAUAAGCCUGGAAUUCUGCUGGAAGUCGUGCAAAUCCUGACAGACCUUGAUUUCAUAAUUACCAAAGCUUACAUUUCUUCUGAUGGUGGAUGGUUUAUGGAUGUAUUUCAUGUCACGGAUCAGCAAGGAAAGAAGAUAACAGACAGCAAAAUUAUCGACUUCAUUGAAAAGGCUCUAGGACCAAAGGGCCGCCAGAGCAAAGAAGGUAUGCAAAGUUGGGAGGGUAAACGGGUUGGCGUGCACUCCAUUGGUGAUCAUACAGCCAUUGAGCUCAUUGGUAGGGACCGGCCAGGUCUUUUGUCUGAGAUAUCAGCCGUCCUUGCAAGCCUCCAAUUCAAUGUGAUUGCGGCUGAAGUUUGGACUCAUAACAGGCGAAUAGCAUGUGUCCUUUAUGUCAAUGAUGCUACAAACCAGGCUAUGGAUGAUGACUCGAAAAGGUUGUCUAUCAUCGAGGAGCAGCUCAACCACAUCUUACGCGGAUGUGAGGAUGACGAGAAAGAGAAAGUGGCUCGGAAGACCAGUUUCUCCAUGGGCUUCACCCACAUGGACAGGAGGCUCCACCAAAUGUUGUUUGCUGAUAGGGAUUAUGAGAGUGCUGCUGGAGUAACCACAACAAAUGUUGAUUGUCCCUCUUUCAGGCCAAAUAUCAAAAUAGAACGUAUUGAGGAAAAAGGUUACUCUGUGGUUAGUGUGAGAUGCAAAGAUCGGGCAAAAUUGAUGUUUGACAUUGUCUGCACUCUCACUGACAUGGAAUAUGUUGUUUUUCAUGCCUCAAUCUCAUCUGAAGGCCCUUAUGCAUCACAGGAGUACUUCAUCAGGCAUGUGGAUGGAUGCACACUUGACACUGAAGGGGAGAAAGAAAGGGUCAUCAAAUGCAUUGAAGCCGCUAUUCAAAGAAGAGUAAGCGAGCUAUCUACUUGUAUUGUUGCGAAUGGUACGGUAUACAUACAUGGGGAUAAGUUCCACUCAGAUUGUAUCUGACCAUCGUAUCCACCAAUGAAUCGGUGACGGUUGAUUGAUGGUCUUUUGUCUUCACUAGAGCUUAAGAUUCCUUAUGCUCCACGACUAAAAACAUAGUUUUAUAUAGGCUAAAUUACAUCCGUGGUCCCUUAACUUAAUUUCAGACAGAAGAUGAUAGUGUUGGUUACCAUUGAUCCUCUGGAUGAUGGACACAGGGUGUGAGCCUUGAGCUGUGUGCAAAGGAUAGAGUGGGCUUGCUGUCUGAAGUGACUAGGAUUCUACGAGAAAAUGGCCUGACAGUUUGUAGGGCAGGUGUAUCAACCAUAGGAGAGAAAGGACUAAAUGUUUUCUAUGUAAGAGAUGCAUAUGGAAACCCUGUGGACAUGAAAAUCAUUGAAGCACUGAAUAAAGAAAUUGGCCAGACUGUGAUGGUUAAUGUGAAGAAGGUACCAGCGAACACCAAAGCACCCGAAGCGUCCCGAGGAUGGUCUAGAAUAAGCUUCUUCUUUGGGAACUUGUUGGAAAGGUUUUUGACUUGAAGUAAGAGUUGAGAAUCAUAUGCACCUGAUUCUUAUUCUGGUUGCUUGUGAUUUGUAAAUGACACAACACAAAUGUAUGUAUAAGAAUAAAGCUGUUGUGUGUCAAACUUGGACAGUGUCAGUGAUUUAACUUGGUCCUUUUGUUUUAAACCAAACAAUGCUUGUAAGAUUUAACUUGUAUUCCCUCUCCUCUAUCAUGUCCGACUUGCAUCUAUCCUAUUUUAAUUUCAGUUUUUAGUGUCUUUUUAGAUUAGUAUGAGAAAUCUAAAAAGUGGGAAUUAUGUUGAUUA